GACGAACGCUGGCGGCGUGCCUAAUACAUGCAAGUAGAACGCUGAAGAGAGGAGCUUGCUCUUCUUGGAUGAGUUGCGAACGGGUGAGUAACGCGUAGGUAACCUGCCUUGUAGCGGGGGAUAACUAUUGGAAACGAUAGCUAAUACCGCAUAACAAUGGAUGACACAUGUCAUUUAUUUGAAAGGGGCAAUUGCUCCACUACAAGAUGGACCUGCGUUGUAUUAGCUAGUAGGUGAGGUAACGGCUCACCUAGGCGACGAUACAUAGCCGACCUGAGAGGGUGAUCGGCCACACUGGGACUGAGACACGGCCCAGACUCCUACGGGAGGCAGCAGUAGGGAAUCUUCGGCAAUGGGGGCAACCCUGACCGAGCAACGCCGCGUGAGUGAAGAAGGUUUUCGGAUCGUAAAGCUCUGUUGUAAGUCAAGAACGAGUGUGAGAGUGGAAAGUUCACACUGUGACGGUAGCUUACCAGAAAGGGACGGCUAACUACGUGCCAGCAGCCGCGGUAAUACGUAGGUCCCGAGCGUUGUCCGGAUUUAUUGGGCGUAAAGCGAGCGCAGGCGGUUUGAUAAGUCUGAAGUUAAGGCUGUGGCUCAACCAUAGUUCGCUUUGGAAACUGUCAAACUUGAGUGCAGAAGGGGAGAGUGGAAUUCCAUGUGUAGCGGUGAAAUGCGUAGAUAUAUGGAGGAGCACCGGUGGCGAAAGCGGCUCUCUGGUCUGUAACUGACGCUGAGGCUCGAAAGCGUGGGGAGCGAACAGGAUUAGAUACCCUGGUAGUCCACGCCGUAAACGAUGAGUGCUAGGUGUUGGAUCCUUUCCGGGAUUCAGUGCCGCAGCUAACGCAUUAAGCACUCCGCCUGGGGAGUACGACCGCAAGGUUGAAACUCAAAGGAAUUGACGGGGGCCCGCACAAGCGGUGGAGCAUGUGGUUUAAUUCGAAGCAACGCGAAGAACCUUACCAGGUCUUGACAUCCCGAUGCUAUUUCUAGAGAUAGAAAGUUACUUCGGUACAUCGGUGACAGGUGGUGCAUGGUUGUCGUCAGCUCGUGUCGUGAGAUGUUGGGUUAAGUCCCGCAACGAGCGCAACCCCUAUUGUUAGUUGCCAUCAUUCAGUUGGGCACUCUAGCGAGACUGCCGGUAAUAAACCGGAGGAAGGUGGGGAUGACGUCAAAUCAUCAUGCCCCUUAUGACCUGGGCUACACACGUGCUACAAUGGUUGGUACAACGAGUUGCGAGUCGGUGACGGCAAGCUAAUCUCUUAAAGCCAAUCUCAGUUCGGAUUGUAGGCUGCAACUCGCCUACAUGAAGUCGGAAUCGCUAGUAAUCGCGGAUCAGCACGCCGCGGUGAAUACGUUCCCGGGCCU
Molecule: ribosomal RNA, 1368 nt
Filed under: uncultured bacterium
Lineage: Bacteria
Description: bacterial SSU rRNA
Rfam family: Bacterial small subunit ribosomal RNA
Source: RNAcentral